CGAUAUGUUGUGUCUGUCGGUGCCCCGCCAGACGCGAUCGUCGGCAGGGCUCAAAAGGGAAUCCGGUGCGAAUCCGGAACUGCCCCGCAGCGGUAAGCGGAAACGAACGCCCAAGGGCCGGAGUCCGUCCGUUCGGGAGAUGGGUGA
RNAcentral lists this non-coding RNA (147 nucleotides) under Rhodanobacter spathiphylli. Lineage: Bacteria; Pseudomonadati; Pseudomonadota; Gammaproteobacteria; Lysobacterales; Rhodanobacteraceae. The record is from RNAcentral.